GACGAGGAUGUGAUCCCUCCUAACAUAACAAAUCUAGAUAACCAUUUAUCUAAAUUCGUUGUAUUAAGAGAGGGUUAACCCUUGUA
RNAcentral lists this microRNA precursor (86 nucleotides) under Oryza sativa (Asian cultivated rice). Its description in RNAcentral is "miR6252 stem-loop (osa-MIR6252)". Lineage: Eukaryota; Viridiplantae; Streptophyta; Magnoliopsida; Poales; Poaceae. The record is from miRBase by way of RNAcentral.